Molecule: transfer RNA, 80 nt
Filed under: Mesorhizobium sp. B2-3-2
Lineage: Bacteria; Pseudomonadati; Pseudomonadota; Alphaproteobacteria; Hyphomicrobiales; Phyllobacteriaceae
Description: tRNA-Val
Source: RNAcentral
AGGCGAGGGACCUGCUAGGAAGUGCGCGCGCUUCGUUUACACCGAAGAUGUCGGCGGUUCGAGCCCGUCAUCGCCCACCA